Molecule: non-coding RNA, 151 nt
Filed under: Tropicimonas sediminicola
Lineage: Bacteria; Pseudomonadati; Pseudomonadota; Alphaproteobacteria; Rhodobacterales; Roseobacteraceae
Description: Tropicimonas sp. M97 Ruegeria cis2 sRNA
Rfam family: Ruegeria cis2 sRNA
About the family: Cis-encoded. Targets ABC transporter.
Source: Rfam by way of RNAcentral
GUUGGAGUAAUGCGGGUUGUAGUUGAUGAACACGAAGCCGCGGCACUGGUCGAUGGUAUGGAACAGCGGGUUCCAGGUGAAGAAGGCCAGCAUGUAGCUCGGUAGCUGGUUGGCCACGAACAUCUUGCCCGAGGCGAUCAUGUUGGCCCGG